AUACAUGCAAGUCGAACGCGUCUCCGUUAAUGAUUUUAGGUGCUUGCACUUGAAAGAUUUAACAUUGAGACGAGUGGCGAACUGGUGAGUAACACGUGGGUAACCUGCCCUUGAAGUAGGGGAUAACACUUGGAAACAGGUGCUAAUACCGUAUAACAACCAAAACCACCUGGUUUUGGUUUAAAAGACGGCUUCGGCUGUCACUUUAGGAUGGACCCGCGGCGUAUUAGCUUGUUGGUAAGGUAACGGCUUACCAAGGCGAUGAUACGUAGCCGACCUGAGAGGGUAAUCGGCCACAUUGGGACUGAGACACGGCCCAAACUCCUACGGGAGGCAGCAGUAGGGAAUCUUCCACAAUGGACGAAAGUCUGAUGGAGCAACGCCGCGUGAGUGAUGAAGGGUUUCGGCUCGUAAAACUCUGUUGUUGGAGAAGAACAGGUGUCAGAGUAACUGUUGACAUCUUGACGGUAUCCAACCAGAAAGCCACGGCUAACUACGUGCCAGCAGCCGCGGUAAUACGUAGGUGGCAAGCGUUGUCCGGAUUUAUUGGGCGUAAAGCGAGCGCAGGCGGUUUUUUAGGUCUGAUGUGAAAGCCUUCGGCUUAACCGGAGAAGUGCAUCGGAAACCGGGAGACUUGAGUGCAGAAGAGGACAGUGGAACUCCAUGUGUAGCGGUGAAAUGCGUAGAUAUAUGGAAGAACACCAGUGGCGAAGGCGGCUGUCUGGUCUGUAACUGACGCUGA
Molecule: ribosomal RNA, 742 nt
Filed under: Lentilactobacillus buchneri
Lineage: Bacteria; Bacillati; Bacillota; Bacilli; Lactobacillales; Lactobacillaceae
Description: bacterial SSU rRNA
Rfam family: Bacterial small subunit ribosomal RNA
Source: RNAcentral